Molecule: ribosomal RNA, 467 nt
Filed under: uncultured bacterium
Lineage: Bacteria
Description: partial 16S ribosomal RNA
Rfam family: Bacterial small subunit ribosomal RNA
Source: RNAcentral
GACGAACGCUGGCGGCGUGCUUAACACAUGCAAGUCGAACGGAAAGGCCCUGCUUUUGUGGGGUGCUCGAGUGGCGAACGGGUGAGUAACACGUGAGUAACCUGCCCUUGACUUUGGGAUAACUUCAGGAAACUGGGGCUAAUACCGGAUAGGAGCUCCUGCUGCAUGGUGGGGGUUGGAAAGUUUCGGCGGUUGGGGAUGGACUCGCGGCUUAUCAGCUUGUUGGUGGGGUAGUGGCUUACCAAGGCUUUGACGGGUAGCCGGCCUGAGAGGGUGACCGGCCACAUUGGGACUGAGAUACGGCCCAGACUCCUACGGGAGGCAGCAGUGGGGAAUAUUGCACAAUGGGCGGAAGCCGGAUGCAGCAACGCCGCGUGCGGGAUGACGGCCUUCGGGUUGUAAACCGCUUUCGCCUGUGACGAAGCGCGAGUGACGGUAAUGGGUAAAGAAGCACCGGCUAACUACGU